RNAcentral lists this non-coding RNA (29 nucleotides) under Homo sapiens (human). Lineage: Eukaryota; Metazoa; Chordata; Mammalia; Primates; Hominidae. The record is from RNAcentral.
UCCUUUGUGACCAGCUCUGGAUUUUGGCC